CUCAAUUAGGAAGUAACAUGGAGAGUUCAGAAAUUUCUGAUGCUACUUCUAGCUUAAGAGAAUCAUCUAAGGAAGCCAACAGCUUCUCAAUAGCUGAAGAGGACUAGAUUUGGAGAAUGUAUAAGUUGGUUGGAGAUAGAUGGUCGAUAAUUGCUGGAAGAAUUCCGGGAAGAAAUGCCGAUGAAAUCCAGGAGUACUGUCAAAGUCAUUUUUCAAAGGGAAGCAUACUCCCUCCGUCCACCAAAAAUAAUAGCACCAUCUUUGCAUUUCGGGAUGUCCACAAAGAUAGUCCUGUCAAAAAAUGAAAAGUUUCUCUCAAAUUAUUAAUACUAUUCUAUCUA
Long non-coding RNA from Salvia hispanica, 341 nucleotides. RefSeq lists it as uncharacterized. The record is from RefSeq and is a predicted model, not a curated record. NCBI's taxonomy places the organism in Eukaryota, Viridiplantae, Streptophyta, Magnoliopsida, Lamiales, Lamiaceae.